GAUGAACGCUGGCGGCGUGCCUAAUACAUGCAAGUCGAGCGAAUGGAUUAAGAGCUUGCUCUUAUAAAGUUAGCGGCGGACGGGUGAGUAACACGUGGGUAACCUGCCCAUAAGACUGGGAUAACUCCGGGAAACCGGGGCGAAUACCGGAUAACAGUUUGAACCGCAUGGUUCGAAAUUGAAAGGCGGCUUCGGCUGGCACUUAUGGAGGGACCCGCGUCGCAUUAGCUAGUUGGUGAGGUAACGGCGCACCAAGGCAACGAUGCGUAGCCGACCUGAGAGGGUGAUCGGCCACACUGGGACUGAGACACGGCCCAGACUCCUACGGGAGGCAGCAGUAGGGAAUCUUCCGCAAUGGACGAAAGUCUGACGGAGCAACGCCGCGUGAGUGAUGAAGGCUUUCGGGUCGUAAAACUCUGUUGUUAGGGAAGAACAAGUGCUAGUUGAAUAAGCUGGCACCUUGACGGUACCUAACCAGAAAGCCACGGCUAACUACGUGCCAGCCGCCGCCGUAA
RNAcentral lists this ribosomal RNA (515 nucleotides) under uncultured bacterium. Its description in RNAcentral is "partial 16S ribosomal RNA". It matches the Rfam family "Bacterial small subunit ribosomal RNA", at positions 28 to 523 of the family's 1533-position model. The record is from RNAcentral.